CUGCUAUACAUGCAAGUCGAACGAACUCUGGGUAUUGAUUGGUGCUUGCAUCAUGAUUUACAUUUGAGUGAGUGGCGAACUGGUGAGUAACACGUGGGAAACCUGCCCAGAAGCGGGGGAUAACACCUGGAAACAGAUGCUAAUACCGCAUAACAACUUGGACCGCAUGGUCCGAGUUUGAAAGAUGGCUUCGGCUAUCACUUUUGGAUGGUCCCGCGGCGUAUUAGCUAGAUGGUGGGGUAACGGCUCACCAUGGCAAUGAUACGUAGCCGACCUGAGAGGGUAAUCGGCCACAUUGGGACUGAGACACGGCCCAAACUCCUACGGGAGGCAGCAGUAGGGAAUCUUCCACAAUGGACGAAAGUCUGAUGGAGCAACGCCGCGUGAGUGAAGAAGGGUUUCGGCUCGUAAAACUCUGUUGUUAAAGAAGAACAUAUCUGAGAGUAACUGUUCAGGUAUUGACGGUAUUUAACCAGAAAGCCACGGCUAACUACGUGCCAGCAGCCGCGGUAAUACGUAGGUGGCAAGCGUUGUCCGGAUUUAUUGGGCGUAAAGCGAGCGCAGGCGGUUUUUUAAGUCUGAUGUGAAAGCCUUCGGCUCAACCGAAGAAGUGCAUCGGAAACUGGGAAACUUGAGUGCAGAAGAGGACAGUGGAACUCCAUGUGUAGCGGUGAAAUGCGUAGAUAUAUGGAAGAACACCAGUGGCGAAGGCGGCUGUCUGGUCUGUAACUGACGCUGAGGCUCGAAAGUAUGGGUAGCAAACAGGAUUAGAUACCCUGGUAGUCCAUACCGUAAACGAUGAAUGCUAAGUGUUGGAGGGUUUCCGCCCUUCAGUGCUGCAGCUAACGCAUUAAGCAUUCCGCCUGGGGAGUACGGCCGCAAGGCUGAAACUCAAAGGAAUUGACGGGGGCCCGCACAAGCGGUGGAGCAUGUGGUUUAAUUCGAAGCUACGCGAAGAACCUUACCAGGUCUUGACAUACUAUGCAAAUCUAAGAGAUUAGACGUUCCCUUCGGGGACAUGGAUACAGGUGGUGCAUGGUUGUCGUCAGCUCGUGUCGUGAGAUGUUGGGUUA
This 1073-nucleotide ribosomal RNA is filed under the name Lactiplantibacillus plantarum. RNAcentral's name for it is "bacterial SSU rRNA". It matches the Rfam family "Bacterial small subunit ribosomal RNA", at positions 44 to 1082 of the family's 1533-position model. The record is from RNAcentral. Lineage: Bacteria; Bacillati; Bacillota; Bacilli; Lactobacillales; Lactobacillaceae.